GCGGGCGUGGCGGAACGGCAGACGCGCCGGGCUUAGAACCCGGUGGGCUCAACACCCGUGCAGGUUCAACUCCUGUCGCCCGCA
This 84-nucleotide transfer RNA is filed under the name Pseudomonadota bacterium. RNAcentral's name for it is "tRNA-Leu". It matches the Rfam family "tRNA". From Rfam's summary of the family: Transfer RNA (tRNA) molecules are approximately 80 nucleotides in length. Their secondary structure includes four short double-helical elements and three loops (D, anti-codon, and T loops). The record is from RNAcentral. RNAcentral also lists the same sequence under 1 other name. Lineage: Bacteria; Pseudomonadati; Pseudomonadota.